GCACUCAAACUUGUGGAUCCAGGGGAUCCUCAUAGACAUCCAAGGGUAGGUCUGCCUGCAGUUCCUCAUUUUCUUCCUCAUCUGGGGGGAAUGGAAAGAGUGAGUUCCAUAUGCUCAGUAAGAAAAAUAAUAUUAAAUUAACAUCAUAAGAUUUCAAAAGUUUAUUAUUUUAUCUCACCGUUUAGCUUCUUUGUUUACCU
Molecule: long non-coding RNA, 200 nt
Filed under: Carica papaya (papaya)
Lineage: Eukaryota; Viridiplantae; Streptophyta; Magnoliopsida; Brassicales; Caricaceae
Description: long non-coding RNA (CPAP_LNC009772)
Source: RNAcentral